RNAcentral lists this small nuclear RNA (100 nucleotides) under Vombatus ursinus (common wombat). Lineage: Eukaryota; Metazoa; Chordata; Mammalia; Diprotodontia; Vombatidae. The record is from RNAcentral.
UUACUUCAACAGCACAUAUACUAAAAUUGAAACAAUACAGAAAAUAUUAGCAUGGACUCUGCCUCAUGUACUAAAAAUUUAUGAAGCAUUUUAUAUUAAU